RNAcentral lists this long non-coding RNA (1521 nucleotides) under Sorghum bicolor (sorghum). Its description in RNAcentral is "long non-coding RNA (SBIC_LNC003138)". The record is from RNAcentral. Lineage: Eukaryota; Viridiplantae; Streptophyta; Magnoliopsida; Poales; Poaceae.
AGCAAAGAUGGACUCAAGAGUUUCUGCAGUGGUUUCAUGCCUUAAAGAUACACAUGCGUUCAAACAAUAUCUCAUCUCUGGGUUAGGGUAAACUGUUAAGAUUUAAACUUACUCAUUUUACCUUCCACCAUGGGGCUUGUAACCGUCACUUGUGUCUUGAGCAGUUAAAAGAUAGAACGGUCUAGUCAAGCGCCAUGUCUCUUGUUCUUUGAUUAACUAUAGCUCUAGAGUUUUUGCAGAUUUUCAAAUAAAACUCAAAGAUUCCUUGUAUGACUCUCUCUAGUCUCUCUUUUGUGGUAUUUCUAGAUCCUUACCAAGGCAGUAAUGGUGUAUGCCUUCUCUCAAAGUAUGUGGUAUUUUUGGUAUGAGGCAUAGUGGCAUUGCCUUCUCUCUCACCCUACUCUAAUAAGGUUUUGAUAUCUAGAGCUCAUAGGUGGGAGACAGCUAAUACAUACUUACAAGACAUUUAUUGCAUAGUCAAACCACGGAUCCAAAAGAACAAGUCAAUAAGUCAAAUCAAGAUGUGCAUGUGUGGUGAAUGAAUGGUGUAUGGUGAUGAUGGUGAUAACAAUGGUGAAAGUCUAAUUCUACUUAUGCUCUUUUGAGGGGAUACAUACCUUUCUUGCUCUUUUGAAACUUUUUGAGGAGAAUGAGAUGCUCUAUAUUUUCUUUUUCCUUUCACUUAUGUGGGUAUCUUGUAACCCUAAUUCUACUAUCGGACACUUGUCCAUUUUUACCUCUCGUCUCACUCUUUCUUUUCUUUCGAGGUUUCGGGACUUGCCCCUUUUUAUUUCCUCGUAUUUUUCCUUUUUCUUUUUUUCUCUUCUCUUUUUUACAGCACACAUCUCCUGAAAUAAUAUAGCAAGUGGUAGUAACCAAGAUAACUCGAGCAUUUAUUUCAUAGGGAAAAAUAGGAAUAUUUUUAGCUAUUCUCUCCUGGAUUAGGAGUAGAAUAUUUUUAGGUGAUUCUGGAGAUGGAAAUGGGUGGAUAUAUGUGGAUGCGUACUUCCGGAGUAGAAGCAGCAUGUGUGAGUGAACGUGCAAGUGAAUCUUGAUUUAACCACAUGACAAGCUCCUAAGGGUCUACACAGCUUGACCACACUCAAUGCUCAUAAGUAGUAAAAAGUAAAUGUAUGGUUCAUAGUCUAGUAAGCAUGUAUAUAUGGCUGUGGUAGGAUUUUGAACUCUCAUCAUACAGGAACUCAUCAUGCAACAUUUUAAAGAUUUUCAAAGAUAAAAUUCUCCAGAAUUCUAGCAUCUCUAGGAACAGAUAAACAGUAGCUCAACCUUCCCAUAUCAUAUCUGUUAACGACUUAGACUUUAGAUCAAGUACUCUUGUCACAAGUUCAGGUUUAGAGCAAAUCUUAAUUAAUAACAGUCAUGCCUGAACUUGAGAGAGAUUUCAAUUUUGAGAAUUAGUCAUGGCAGAGCAACUAUUCAUCAUUUCCAUGUGAGAGCUUAUCAUGAGGGUUCAUAGCAAACUUUAUUUAUUUAUUUAUUUAUUUAGCAAACUAAGCAAAG